AAGCUAUGCGUCGGGCAUUUUCUCAGUAGCUCUUUGAACCACUCACAUGCUUUAUAUAAUGUUUCAUCUUCUAAUUGCCUAAACGAUGUAAUGUCAUUCCUCAACUU
Small nucleolar RNA from Gossypium raimondii (Peruvian cotton), 107 nucleotides. It matches the Rfam family "Plant small nucleolar RNA R71". Rfam says of the family: R71 is a member of the C/D box family of snoRNAs containing the C (UGAUGA) and D (CUGA) box motifs. Multiple nearly identical copies of this snoRNA have been identified in Arabidopsis, and it is thought to function as a 2'-O-ribose methylation guide for 18S ribosomal RNA. NCBI's taxonomy places the organism in Eukaryota, Viridiplantae, Streptophyta, Magnoliopsida, Malvales, Malvaceae. The record is from Rfam.